Molecule: ribosomal RNA, 253 nt
Filed under: uncultured bacterium
Lineage: Bacteria
Description: partial 16S ribosomal RNA
Rfam family: Bacterial small subunit ribosomal RNA
Source: RNAcentral
UACGAAGGGGGCUAGCGUUGUUCGGAUUUACUGGGCGUAAAGCGCACGUAGGCGGAUUGUUAAGUCGGGGGUGAAAGCCUGUGGCUCAACCACAGAAUUGCCUUUGAUACUGUUUGGCUAGAGACCGGAAGAGGUAAGUGGAACUGCGAGUGUAGAGGUGAAAUUCGUAGAUAUUGGGAAGAACACCGGUGGCGAAGGCGGCCAACUGGACCACAACUGACGCUGAGGCGCGAAAGCGUGGGGAGCAAACAGG